Molecule: ribosomal RNA, 520 nt
Filed under: uncultured bacterium
Lineage: Bacteria
Description: partial 16S ribosomal RNA
Rfam family: Bacterial small subunit ribosomal RNA
Source: RNAcentral
GACGAACGCUGGCGGCGUGCCUAAUACAUGCAAGUCGAACGCACUCUCGUUUAGAUUUUGGGAUUUUGCGCGUGAAUGGUAAACAUGUGAGUGAGUGGCGGACGGGUUAGUAACACGUGGGUAACCUGCCCUAAAGUGUGGGACAACAUUUGGAAACAGAUGCCAAUACCGCAUAAAACCUAACACCGCAUGGUGCAGUGUUGUAAGAUGGUUUCGGCUUUCACUUUAGGAUGGACCCGCGGUGCAUUAGGUAGUUGGUGGGGUAAAGGCUCACCAAGACGGUGAUGCGUAGCCGACCUGAGAGGGUGAUCGGCCACACUGGGACUGAGACACGGUCCAGACUCCUACGGGAGGCAGCAGUAGGGAAUCUUCCACAAUGGACGAAAGUCUGAUGCAGCAACGCCGCGUGAGUGAAGAAGGUCUUCGGAUCGUAAAACUCCGUUGUUGGGGAAGAAUGUAUCUGGUAGUAACUGAUCAGGUAGUGACGGUACCCAAACAGAAAGCAACGGCUAACUACGUG